GAUGAAGAACGUAGCGAAAUGCGAUACUUGGUGUGAAUUGCAGAAUCCCGUGAACCAUCGAGUCUUUGAACGCAAGUUGCGCCCGAAGCCAUUAGGCCGAGGGCACGCCUGCCUGGGCGUCACACGUCGUUGCCCCCCCAUCUACUCCUUCGGGAUUGCGGGGGGCGGAUGAUGGCCUCCCGUGCGCCUCGCCGCGCGGUUGGCAUAAAUGCCAAGUCCUCGGCGACGCACGCCACGACAAUCGGUGGUUGCGAAACCUCGGUUGCCCGUCGUGUGCGGUCGUCGCGCAUCGAGGGCUCGAAAAAAUUGCCGGGUUCCGGCUCGGCUUUCGACGCGACCCCAGGUCAGGCGGGGUUACCCGCUGAAUUUAAGCAUAUCAAUAAGCGGAGGA
This 391-nucleotide unclassified non-coding RNA is filed under the name soil metagenome. Its description in RNAcentral is "partial contains 5.8S ribosomal RNA, internal transcribed spacer 2, and large subunit ribosomal RNA". The stretch from base 1 to 122 matches the Rfam family "5.8S ribosomal RNA", at positions 35 to 154 of the family's 154-position model. The record is from RNAcentral.